ACUUAAAUUGAAGAGUUUGAUCAUGGCUCAGAUUGAACGCUGGCGGCAGGCCUAACACAUGCAAGUCGAGCGGUAGCACAGAGAGCUUGCUCUCGGGUGACGAGCGGCGGACGGGUGAGUAAUGUCUGGGAAACUGCCUGAUGGAGGGGGAUAACUACUGGAAACGGUAGCUAAUACCGCAUAAUGUCGCAAGACCAAAGUGGGGGACCUUCGGGCCUCAUGCCAUCAGAUGUGCCCAGAUGGGAUUAGCUAGUAGGUGGGGUAAUGGCUCACCUAGGCGACGAUCCCUAGCUGGUCUGAGAGGAUGACCAGCCACACUGGAACUGAGACACGGUCCAGACUCCUACGGGAGGCAGCAGUGGGGAAUAUUGCACAAUGGGCGCAAGCCUGAUGCAGCCAUGCCGCGUGUGUGAAGAAGGCCUUCGGGUUGUAAAGCACUUUCAGCGGGGAGGAAGGCGGUGAGGUUAAUAACCUCAUCGAUUGACGUUACCCGCAGAAGAAGCACCGGCUAACUCCGUGCCAGCAGCCGCGGUAAUACGGAGGGUGCAAGCGUUAAUCGGAAUUACUGGGCGUAAAGCGCACGCAGGCGGUCUGUCAAGUCGGAUGUGAAAUCCCCGGGCUCAACCUGGGAACUGCAUUCGAAACUGGCAGGCUAGAGUCUUGUAGAGGGGGGUAGAAUUCCAGGUGUAGCGGUGAAAUGCGUAGAGAUCUGGAGGAAUACCGGUGGCGAAGGCGGCCCCCUGGACAAAGACUGACGCUCAGGUGCGAAAGCGUGGGGAGCAAACAGGAUUAGAUACCCUGGUAGUCCACGCCGUAAACGAUGUCGAUUUGGAGGUUGUGCCCUUGAGGCGUGGCUUCCGGAGCUAACGCGUUAAAUCGACCGCCUGGGGAGUACGGCCGCAAGGUUAAAACUCAAAUGAAUUGACGGGGGCCCGCACAAGCGGUGGAGCAUGUGGUUUAAUUCGAUGCAACGCGAAGAACCUUACCUGGUCUUGACAUCCACAGAGCUUAGCAGAGAUGCUUUGGUGCCUUCGGGAACUGUGAGACAGGUGCUGCAUGGCUGUCGUCAGCUCGUGUUGUGAAAUGUUGGGUUAAGUCCCGCAACGAGCGCAACCCUUAUCCUUUGUUGCCAGCGGUUAGGCCGGGAACUCAAAGGAGACUGCCAGUGAUAAACUGGAGGAAGGUGGGGAUGACGUCAAGUCAUCAUGGCCCUUACGACCAGGGCUACACACGUGCUACAAUGGCAUAUACAAAGAGAAGCGACCUCGCGAGAGCAAGCGGACCUCAUAAAGUAUGUCGUAGUCCGGAUUGGAGUCUGCAACUCGACUCCAUGAAGUCGGAAUCGCUAGUAAUCGUAGAUCAGAAUGCUACGGUGAAUACGUUCCCGGGCCUUGUACACACCGCCCGUCACACCAUGGGAGUGGGUUGCAAAAGAAGUAGGUAGCUUAACCUUCGGGAGGGCGCUUACCACUUUGUGAUUCAUGACUGGGGUGAAGUCGUAACAAGGUAACCGUAGGGGAACCUGCGGUUGGAUCACCUCCUUACCUUAAAGAA
Molecule: ribosomal RNA, 1554 nt
Filed under: Klebsiella pneumoniae
Lineage: Bacteria; Pseudomonadati; Pseudomonadota; Gammaproteobacteria; Enterobacterales; Enterobacteriaceae
Description: bacterial SSU rRNA
Rfam family: Bacterial small subunit ribosomal RNA
Source: RNAcentral